Long non-coding RNA from Arabidopsis lyrata subsp. lyrata, 1643 nucleotides. RefSeq lists it as uncharacterized. The transcript has 2 exons. Lineage: Eukaryota; Viridiplantae; Streptophyta; Magnoliopsida; Brassicales; Brassicaceae. The record is from RefSeq and is a predicted model, not a curated record.
GCUGAUGUGGCGAGAUCUCAGCCAUUCAUCGGAUCUAAUACAUGAUCAAUUUACCUAAACCAAUCAAUAAGUAAUACUCGGAUACAUGACGUGGCGAAAUCUCAUCCUUUCAUAAGGCUUUGGCGGCUGUUGUUUAAUGAAAUCUCAUCCGUUCAUCGCCCAACAAAGGCUUUGGCGUCUGCUCUCUUCAUCCUUUCAUCUUUUCAUCGCCUCGACUGAGAACAAAAUUCAGAACAAAAUUAAUUCAGAUUAGGUCUUCUCUUGGCUGAUCUCAGGAAAAAAUUAAUUCAGAUUAGGUCAUCACCUUUCAGCACAUACUUCUUCUCUUCUUCUUGUUUUCAUCACAUAUUCUCAAUUCUCAAUUCUUUUUUCCUCUCCUCCAUUACGAUUUACGAGAAUCUCUCUGCUUUAGCUUCUCACUCCACUGUAAGUUUCGUUUCUUCUGAGUUUAACAUUAGUCUCUCAAUUUGUCAACGCAAUGGUUUUCUCUCAUUACCUAGUCGACUUCUUCUUCUCCACCAGCGAUACAUCGAAGACGUUUCACCACCACCUUGGCGAGCCUCUUUUGAUGUUGGUUCUCAGGUGAGUUAAUUCUGGAUUUUUAGGGUUUACAUUGAAAUUUGAAUCACAAGUUUUAGCUUCUAAGAGCAUGAAACGGAUCUGCUUGUGUUAAGAGUUAAAUUUUGUGAGUAAACUUUAUUCUGGUAAUGUUUUGCUUCUUCGAGUAUUUUUUAUUUGUUUUGUGUUUGCUAUUCCUCUAGUAAUUAUGUCACUAAUUGAGUUUCAUGUUAUAGUCAAUCGCCCACCACCUGUUCGAUUAAAUGCCUCAAUGGGUUUAUUGUCUUGAAGCUGUUUUAAAACAGAGCAUAUGGAAGAUAUUUUAGGAUUGUUGUUCAGAUAUAUUAAGCAUUUACAUCAAUCUGGUUUUUUGUCUAUGAUUCAAUGAGAAUUUAAACUCAUUUUGAUCCUUGACAAACUUCAGAACUACAUAACUAGUAAUCCUUUUCUGUUGUUUUCUAUUGUAUGAUUUGAUUGCGUGACCACAUUGCUUAGCUUAUCUUAUUUGAAAAUUUUCAAACAGGAAAGACAUCUAUGAUGUGUGUGUUGAACUUGUUGAUUAUGAAGAGGUAAUGGUUGAUUCCCUACAGUGAUAGCUCUGAGUGGGUAUUGGAGUUUAAAGUUGUCUUAUUUGAUAUCUCUUAGGUUUGUAUAUUUUGCAGCUUCCUUAUUCUCAGGUUAUUAUAGUGCAUCCCAUGUAUUUUAUCACAGUGAGAAAAAAGCUUGUUAAUGGAUCAUAUCAUACAUUGCACGGUGUUCAAGGGCCUUACUGCACCUGUAAAAGAAAGUGAAGAAAGAAAUCAAAGAGCUCGCCAAGAAGAUCAACGAUCUUUGUGCUUGAAGCAACUGUAAAAGAAGACAAGGAAUGGCGUUGGCUGUUAAAUGGUAUGAGUUGGAGAUCUACUAGAGCUGCCUCGGUUUCUUUAUGACUUGGUUUGGUGAAGAAAUGUACUUGUGUUUUUUUCUUUAUGACUUGGUUGGUGAUUCAAGCCUUCUUUGUAUCUUUUGGGUAUUUGAUAGAAUGAUUCUUUGUAAAAUGUAUGUUUUAUAUAAUAUUAAUUUUAUUUAUGAAUCAAUUUGCAAUC